This is a small nuclear RNA of Acipenser ruthenus (sterlet), 110 nucleotides long. The record is from RefSeq and is a predicted model, not a curated record. NCBI's taxonomy places the organism in Eukaryota, Metazoa, Chordata, Actinopteri, Acipenseriformes, Acipenseridae.
GUGCGUUCGUUAGGGCAGCACAUAUACUAAAAUUGGAACGAUACAGAGAAGAUUAGCAUGGCCCCAAAUGGAAGGAUGACACGCAAAUUCGUGAAGCGUUCCACAUUUUG